GGCCCCAUCGUCUAGCGGUAAGGACUCCGCCCUUUCACGGCGGCAGCAGGGGUUCGAGUCCCCUUGGGGUCA
This 72-nucleotide transfer RNA is filed under the name subsurface metagenome. RNAcentral describes it as "tRNA-Glu". It matches the Rfam family "tRNA". From Rfam's summary of the family: Transfer RNA (tRNA) molecules are approximately 80 nucleotides in length. Their secondary structure includes four short double-helical elements and three loops (D, anti-codon, and T loops). The record is from RNAcentral.